Molecule: long non-coding RNA, 338 nt
Organism: Pleuronectes platessa (European plaice)
Lineage: Eukaryota; Metazoa; Chordata; Actinopteri; Pleuronectiformes; Pleuronectidae
Exons: 2
Source: RefSeq, a predicted model, not a curated record
GCACAUCCUGGAUUCAGUUCAGAGGAUGAUGCAAGUUUAGUUUGUUGCAUCCUGCAAGGCCGUCACAUCUUCUACUAUAAUUCAUCAUGGGACCACCAAGGUGGACACUUGGGUACCAGGAAUGGGGGAGACUGGGAUCAAACCACUAGCCUUUGUGGUUAGUGGACGACCCGCUCUACCUUCUGAGCCACAGCAGCCCAUGAACACAUGCUAAGCAGCUGCGACAAGGAUCAACACAGGCCGAAGGAAAUUUUUCAGAACGUUCUAGUUCAAUGUAUAUUUACCACUGACCUGCUAGGAAAAAGAAUUUGAAAAUAAAGAAAUGUAUUAAAAGUUUA